Astatotilapia calliptera (eastern happy) is the source of this 1882-nucleotide long non-coding RNA. The record is from Ensembl. NCBI's taxonomy places the organism in Eukaryota, Metazoa, Chordata, Actinopteri, Cichliformes, Cichlidae.
GGGAGAAGUUGAACGGGUCUCACAGACCCGAUUACCAUACAAGGGUUAAAAGCAGUAAAUUAAAAGCAGAAAGACACAGGAAGUUGCCUGUUGUUUUACGAGAAGUUGCUCGUUAAGCGAGAAGUUGCUCGCUAAGUGAGAGUUGCUCACACAAACAAAAAAUUGCUAGCAAUAAAUUUAAAGUGACCUCAGCUGUGCCGCAGCGAAAAUACUAACCUAAAUCCUCCUAGCGUGUAAACCCCUCUGGAAAUCACUGAACAUGAGUCAGAAUAAUUCAAAGACCACAGACAGGUCCGAUAAAAAAUCUAAAGUACCUGUAAAACCAAAAAUUAAUAAAAUACAAAAUAAAGUCUCAAAUAACGGCUCAGUACAACUCCCAUUUCCGGUUACGUGUAACCUACGUCCGCGAAUCGGUGAAGACGUCCAUGAUCACGUAUCCAGAACAUGCGGGAGUGCUUAUGUGACUGACUUUGUUUACAACUUAAGAAGUUCAAUGCAUUCUAAUUUCUUUUCGGAGCCUUAUCCCGAACGAUUAUCGCCAGAAAACAGUUCCACCAGUGGAGACAAGGAGAUGCAUGUUGGAGAAGCCACUAAAACCAAGGACUCUCUGGGAGGCCGCGCGUGUUCCAGCCCCCAGACUGUACUGGCAGUGACGAAGAACCAGCAUCCUCACAGACGGACAACCUCAGUGGAUUCAUGCCAGCAGGGUUAAGACCAGCCCAAUCGGACCAUCUCAGGCGUCGGAUCAAGCAGAUGACAUCUCCGGCGAGCCAGCGCCCGGAACUAGAGCAAAUAAACACACGGGUAGAUGACAUCUCCGGCGAGCCAGCGCCAGGAUCCAAUUUACACACACACACAAUCACUGAUUAACACACAACGUCUGAAAGAACAACGACAAGGUACUCAAACAUCCAGCAGGAACAGAAAGCUAAAAGUACCACAUGAUGUCUAACCUGAUAAAGCCAGACUCAUUCCAUCCUGAUAAUGGAGAAAAUGAAAUGCCCAUUGUCAUCAUACGACGCUUAUUCUAUGUCUCUCGAACCUGGGACCAGGCCAGGAGACAACUGAAGAACUGUUUUUCUUAUAUAUUGUCUUAUAUAUUUAGGUUAUUAAUCAUAUCUAUCGCAUUAACCUUAGGAUUUUUAUUUACUAUUUCAUAUUGUAAAGUGCAACCCUGUUCACAUUUCUGCAAGCCACAUUUUCAAUGAUAACCCAUAUAGCUACCAGUACAGCCACUUCAAUGUAUUUGCAAUUAGCAAAAAUUGAUCCUGAGGAUGUGCCAGAUGUUACCAAUGAUGUUCCUGAUGUGUAUAUUGAACAUUAGGUUGUGAACUAUUACAUUUUAUGAUUUGCUUUUUAUAUUAUGUUAUUACAUUUGUGAUUUUUCCUUUCUAUUUGAGUUAUUAUUUUUUAAAAAAUAAUAAAAGAGGGGAACUGUUAUGAUAUUUUGAUACCACGGUAAGCAUUUACAGGAUAUUGUUUUAUACAGGAAAACUGUUACUCAAUAAGGCCGAUCUACUAGUUGUUUUUCUCUUUCUCUGUGACCCAAGAAUUAAUGUGAGACUCACAAGCUGGUACCUCAAGGUCGAAAACACCACAGAGAUGAGACCACUUCCUUACUCCCAUCCUCCCUUUUCUUUAUCUCCUGGAAAAGGCUCGUUAAAGGCUAGGUGGUUCGUUUCAGAAUUCACUGAUGAAAGAACUCUGUAUUCUAUGUCUAGGAGUGUAUUUUGCUGGGAUGAUCAUAAAUUGUAGCUGAACUGAUAAACUACACAAGGGAUACUUUGCUCAGAAGGCAGGAAGACGUUUCCUUAUUUGGUCUGUACCGGUUUGAACUGGGAAAGCUGACACACGAACCUUUUUUCAUCUAUAUAAACUGCUG